RNAcentral lists this signal recognition particle RNA (99 nucleotides) under Actinomycetales bacterium. Its description in RNAcentral is "signal recognition particle sRNA small type". It matches the Rfam family "Bacterial small signal recognition particle RNA". From Rfam's summary of the family: The signal recognition particle (SRP) is a universally conserved ribonucleoprotein involved in the co-translational targeting of proteins to membranes. The record is from RNAcentral. Lineage: Bacteria; Bacillati; Actinomycetota; Actinomycetes; Actinomycetales.
GGCCGGGUCCCGUGCGACGGUCGUUCGUGAAUCGAGUCAGGGGUGGAAGCCAGCAGCUCUCAGCGGAUCAGACUGGGUGCCACGGUCCGCCUGGCCAUC